RNAcentral lists this ribosomal RNA (465 nucleotides) under uncultured Clostridia bacterium. Its description in RNAcentral is "bacterial SSU rRNA". It matches the Rfam family "Bacterial small subunit ribosomal RNA", at positions 916 to 1382 of the family's 1533-position model. The record is from RNAcentral. Lineage: Bacteria; Bacillati; Bacillota; Clostridia.
GGGGCCCGCACAAGCAGUGGAGCAUGUGGUUUAAUUCGAAGCAACGCGAAGAACCUUACCAGGGCUUGACAUCCCGCGAACCCUCCUGAAAGGAGGGGUGCCUUCGGGAGCGCGGAGACAGGUGCUGCAUGGUUGUCGUCAGCUCGUGUCGUGAGAUGUUGGGUUAAGUCCCGCAACGAGCGCAACCCCUGUCCUUUGUUGCCAGCGGUUUGGCCGGGCACUCAAAGGAGACUGCCGGAGACGAUCCGGAGGAAGUGGGGAUGACGUCAAAUCCUCAUGGCCCUUAUGUCCUGGGCGACACACGUGCUACAAUGGCCUGCACAAAGGGCUGCGAUGCCGCGAGGCAAAGCCAAUCCCCAAAAGCAGGUCCCAGUUCGGAUUGAAGGCUGAAACCCGCCUUCAUGAAGCCGGAAUUGCUAGUAAUCGCGGAUCAGCCAUGCCGCGGUGAAUACGUUCCCGGGCCUU